GCAUCGAUGAAGAACGCAGCGAAUUGCGAUAAGUAAUGUGAAUUGCAGAUACUCGUGAAUCAUUGAAUUUUUGAACGCACAUUGCGCCCUUGAGCAUUCUCAGGGGCAUGCCUGUUUGAGCGUCAUUUCCUUCUCAAAAGAUAAUUUAUUAUUUUUUGGUUGUGGGCGAUACUCAGGGUUAGCUUGAAAUUGGAGACUGUUUCAGUCUUUUUUAAUUCAACACUUAGCUUCUUUGGAGACGCUGUUCUCGCUGUGAUGUAUUUAUGGAUUUAUUCGUUUUACUUUACAAGGGAAAUGGUAACGUACCUUAGGCAAAGGGUUGCUUUUAAUAUUCAUCAAGUUUGACCUCAAAUCAGGUAGGAUUACCCGCUGAACUUAAGCAUAUCAAUAAGCGGAGGA
RNAcentral lists this ribosomal RNA (399 nucleotides) under uncultured Hanseniaspora. Its description in RNAcentral is "eukaryotic LSU rRNA". The stretch from base 1 to 125 matches the Rfam family "5.8S ribosomal RNA", at positions 30 to 154 of the family's 154-position model. The record is from RNAcentral. Lineage: Eukaryota; Fungi; Ascomycota; Saccharomycetes; Saccharomycodales; Saccharomycodaceae.